CCUACGGGAGGCAGCAGUGAGGAAUAUUGGUCAAUGGACGAGAGUCUGAACCAGCCAAGUAGCGUGAAGGAUGACUGCCCUAUGGGUUGUAAACUUCUUUUAUAUGGGAAUAAAAUGUUCCACGUGUGGGAUUUUGUAUGUACCAUAUGAAUAAGGAUCGGCUAACUCCGUUCCAGCAGCCGCGGUAAUACGGAGGAUCCGAGCGUUAUCCGGAUUUAUUGGGUUUAAAGGGAGCGUAGGUGGAUUGUUAAGUCAGUUGUGAAAGUUUGCGGCUCAACCGUAAAAUUGCAGUUGAAACUGACAGUCUUGAGUACAGUAGAGGUGGGCGGAAUUCGUGGUGUAGCGGUGAAAUGCUUAGAUAUCACGAAGAACUCCGAUUGCGAAGGCAGUUCACUGGACUGCAACUGACACUGAGGCUCGAAAGUGUGGGUAUCAAACAGGAUUAGAUACCCGAGUAGUC
Molecule: ribosomal RNA, 460 nt
Filed under: uncultured bacterium
Lineage: Bacteria
Description: partial 16S ribosomal RNA
Rfam family: Bacterial small subunit ribosomal RNA
Source: RNAcentral